RNAcentral lists this ribosomal RNA (340 nucleotides) under Jaguajir pintoi. RNAcentral describes it as "partial 12S ribosomal RNA". The record is from RNAcentral. Lineage: Eukaryota; Metazoa; Arthropoda; Arachnida; Scorpiones; Buthidae.
GAAAUAGUAGAGUAAUUAGGUAGUAAGAGAGGACUUAAAACUUAAAGAAUUUGGCGGCAUCUUAAACUAAUUAGAGGAAUUUGCUUUUGUAAUCGAUAAUACUCGAAAGAUCUAACUUGAAUUAUUUGGCUUGUAUAUCGUCGUCAUAAUAAUGUUUAUUAAUAAUUAUUGAGGGUAAUUUUAUUUUAAAUGUCAGAUCAAGGUUCAGUUAAUGUUAAAGUAAAAAGUGAAUUACAAUGUAAUUAUACAUUUAUGAAUUUUAUUUUGAAAAGAUAAAUGAAGGUGGAUUUAAAAGUAUUGGAAAGAUAAUGUGUUUUUGUGAAUUGGCUCUAGGAUGUGC